UGGAUGGAGAGUUUGAUCCUGGCUCAGAACGAACGCUGGCGGCGUGCUUAACACAUGCAAGUCUAGGGGAAUUCGCUUUCGGGCGAUAGUACACUGGCGAACGGGUGAGUAACGCGUGAGGAACCUACCCUGAAGAUUGGGACAACACAGAGAAAUUUGUGCUAAUACCGGAUAAGCCCACGUACUUAGUUGUGUGUGGGAAAAGACGGGGUAACCUGUCGCUUUGGGAUGGCCUCGCGUGCCAUUAGCUAGUUGGUAGGGUAAUGGCCUACCAAGGCUACGAUGGCUAGGCGGCCUGAGAGGGUGGCCGCCCACACUGGAACUGAGACACGGUCCAGACUCCUACGGGAGGCAGCAGUGGGGAAUUUUGCGCAAUGACCGAAAGGUUGACGCAGCAACGCCGCGUGUAUGAUGAAGGCUUUCGGGUCGUAAAGUACUUUCAGUGGGGAAGAAUGGCAUGAGGAGUAACUGCCUUGUGAUUGACGGUACCCACAGAAGCAGCCCCGGCUAACUCCGUGCCAGCAGCCGCGGUAAUACGGAGGGGGCAAGCGUUGUUCGGAGUCACUGGGCGUAAAGAGCUCGUAGGCGGCGAUGUAAGUCGGGAGUUAAAGGCAACAGCUCAACUGUUGUAGGGCUUCUGAAACUACAUUGCUAGAGUACCAGAGAGGUAUGCGGAAUUCCCUGUGUAGCGGUGAAAUGCGUAGAUAUAGGGAGGAACACCGGUUGCGAAGGCGGCAUACUGGCUGGUAACUGACGCUGAGGAGCGAAAGCGUGGGUAGCAAACAGGAUUAGAUACCCUGGUAGUCCACGCUGUAAACGAUGGAUGCUAGGUGUUGGAUGUAACCACAUUCAGUGCCGAAGCUAACGCAUUAAGCAUCCCGCCUGGGGAGUACGGUCGCAAGACUGAAACUCAAAGGAAUUGACGGGGGCCCGCACAAGCGGUGGAGCACGUGGUUUAAUUCGAUGCUAACCGCAGAACCUUACCCGGGUUUGACAUCUUCAAAAUACGAUAGAGAUAUUGUAGUGCUUACUUUCAGUAAGAAUUGAAUGACAGGUGCUGCAUGGCUGUCGUCAGCUCGUGCCGUGAGGUGUUGGGUUAAGUCCCGCAACGAGCGCAACCCCUGCUUUUAGUUGCCAUCGGGUCAAGCCGGGCACUCUAGAGGAACAGCCGUCGACAAGGCGGAGGAAGGUGGGGACGACGUCAAGUCAUCAUGGCCCUUAUGUCCGGGGCUACACACGUGCUACAAUGGCGUAUACAGAGGGCAGCGAGACAGUGAUGUUAAGCGAAUCCCAGAAAGUACGCCUCAGUUCAGAUUGUAGUCUGCAACUCGACUACAUGAAGUCGGAAUCGCUAGUAAUCGCAGGUCAGCAAAACUGCGGUGAAUACGUUCCCGGGCCUUGUACACACCGCCCGUCACACCACGGGAGUCGACCGUACCUGAAGCCGGUGGCCUAACCUUUUAGGAGGGAGCCGUCUAUGGUAUAGUUGGUAACUGGGGUGAAGUCGUAACAAGGUAGCCGUACCGGAAGGUGUGGCUGGAUCACCUCCUUU
This 1552-nucleotide ribosomal RNA is filed under the name Geovibrio thiophilus. RNAcentral's name for it is "Bacterial small subunit ribosomal RNA". It matches the Rfam family "Bacterial small subunit ribosomal RNA". Lineage: Bacteria; Pseudomonadati; Deferribacterota; Deferribacteres; Deferribacterales; Geovibrionaceae. The record is from Rfam by way of RNAcentral.